GUCCACGCCGUAAACGAUGGAUGCUAGCCGUUGGCAGGCUUGCCUGUCAGUGGCGCAGCUAACGCAUUAAGCAUCCCGCCUGGGGAGUACGGUCGCAAGAUUAAAACUCAAAGGAAUUGACGGGGGCCCGCACAAGCGGUGGAGCAUGUGGUUCAAUUCGAAGCAACGCGCAGAACCUUACCAACCUUUGACAUGUCCCGUAUGGGUACCAGAGAUGGAACCCUUCAGUUCGGCUGGCGGGAACACAGGUGCUGCAUGGCUGUCGU
This 266-nucleotide ribosomal RNA is filed under the name uncultured bacterium. RNAcentral describes it as "partial 16S ribosomal RNA". It matches the Rfam family "Bacterial small subunit ribosomal RNA", at positions 793 to 1055 of the family's 1533-position model. The record is from RNAcentral.